CCAGCAAUGCCGCGUGUGUGAAGAAGGCCUUCGGGUUGUAAAGCACUUUUGUCCGGAAAGAAAUGGCUCUGGUUAAUACCUGGGGUCGAUGACGGUACCGGAAGAAUAAGGACCGGCUAACUACGUGCCAGCAGCCGCGGUAAUACGUAGGGUCCAAGCGUUAAUCGGAAUUACUGGGCGUAAAGCGUGCGCAGGCGGUUGUGCAAGACCGAUGUGAAAUCCCCGAGCUUAACUUGGGAAUUGCAUUGGUGACUGCACGGCUAGAGUGUGUCAGAGGGGGGUAGAAUUCCACGUGUAGCAGUGAAAUGCGUAGAGAUGUGGAGGAAUACCGAUGGCGAAGGCAGCCCCCUGGGAUAACACUGACGCUCAUGCACGAAAGCGUGGGGAGCAAACAGGAUUAGAUACCCUGGUAGUCCACGCCCUAAACGAUGUCAACUAGUUGUUGGGGAUUCAUUUCCUUAGUAACGUAGCUAACGCGUGAAGUUGACCGCCUGGGGAGUACGGUCGCAAGAUUAAAACUCAAAGGAAUUGACGGGGACCCGCACAAGCGGUGGAUGAUGUGGAUUAAUUCGAUGCAACGCGAAAAACCUUACCUACCCUUGACAUGCCACUAACGAAGCAGAGAUG
RNAcentral lists this ribosomal RNA (627 nucleotides) under uncultured Ralstonia sp. RNAcentral describes it as "bacterial SSU rRNA". It matches the Rfam family "Bacterial small subunit ribosomal RNA", at positions 388 to 1008 of the family's 1533-position model. The record is from RNAcentral. Lineage: Bacteria; Pseudomonadati; Pseudomonadota; Betaproteobacteria; Burkholderiales; Burkholderiaceae.